AACGCUGGCGGCGUGCCUAAUACAUGCAAGUCGAGCGGACAGAUGGGAGCUUGCUCCCUGAUGUUAGCGGCGGACGGGUGAGUAACACGUGGGUAACCUGCCUGUAAGACUGGGAUAACUCCGGGAAACCGGGGCUAAUACCGGAUGCUUGAUUGAACCGCAUGGUUCAAUUAUAAAAGGUGGCUUUUAGCUACCACUUACAGAUGGACCCGCGGCGCAUUAGCUAGUUGGUGAGGUAACGGCUCACCAAGGCAACGAUGCGUAGCCGACCUGAGAGGGUGAUCGGCCACACUGGGACUGAGACACGGCCCAGACUCCUACGGGAGGCAGCAGUAGGGAAUCUUCCGCAAUGGACGAAAGUCUGACGGAGCAACGCCGCGUGAGUGAUGAAGGUUUUCGGAUCGUAAAACUCUGUUGUUAGGGAAGAACAAGUACCGUUCGAAUAGGGCGGUACCUUGACGGUACCUAACCAGAAAGCCACGGCUAACUACGUGCCAGCAGCCGCGGUAAUACGUAGGUGGCAAGCGUUGUCCGGAAUUAUUGGGCGUAAAGCGCGCGCAGGCGGUUUCUUAAGUCUGAUGUGAAAGCCCCCGGCUCAACCGGGGAGGGUCAUUGGAAACUGGGGAACUUGAGUGCAGAAGAGGAGAGUGGAAUUCCACGUGUAGCGGUGAAAUGCGUAGAGAUGUGGAGGAACACCAGUGGCGAAGGCGACUCUCUGGUCUGUAACUGACGCUGAGGCGCGAAAGCGUGGGGAGCGAACAGGAUUAGAUACCCUGGUAGUCCACGCCGUAAACGAUGAGUGCUAAGUGUUAGAGGGUUUCCGCCCUUUAGUGCUGCAGCAAACGCAUAAGCACUCCGCC
RNAcentral lists this ribosomal RNA (860 nucleotides) under Bacillus sp. M_Sw_HS_06/10_3_1(2). RNAcentral describes it as "bacterial SSU rRNA". It matches the Rfam family "Bacterial small subunit ribosomal RNA", at positions 32 to 873 of the family's 1533-position model. The record is from RNAcentral. Lineage: Bacteria; Bacillati; Bacillota; Bacilli; Caryophanales; Bacillaceae.